Cinara cedri is the source of this 437-nucleotide non-coding RNA. The record is from the annotation of a GenBank genome assembly. Lineage: Eukaryota; Metazoa; Arthropoda; Insecta; Hemiptera; Aphididae.
GCUCAGUAUCAAGCCAUAUUUUGUGAAAUAAUUAAUUUCUGUCGAAAAUAAUCAAAAAUAUUUAAUUUCAUUAACAUUUUCUUUUCUGUGUAUAAAAUCAAUAUUAUAAUGUUAAUGGGUAAUAUUAUUAAAAUCAUAUCGGAUUACGUACUACCGGACAUUAUUUAUCGGACCAAAUUACGUUAAACCAUUUUGAGCGGUUGUUUAAAUAUAUGGAUGUAAUAAAUAUAGGAACUUUAAAAUUGUGUUCAUAAAUAAUGUGAACAUAGAUUCUGUUAAAUGUUAAAUUGUAGAAAAUAUUAAGUAAUUAUACUAGAAUUACUUAUUCAAACGAUUAAAGUAAGUACCUACACAGUAUUAUUUGUUAUAGAUGUGUAGACGAUUAUAAGGAAAUGAAUAUGUACCUACAAUAUGUUUUUUAUGUAAAAUACCUUCCU